UACGUAGGGGGCGAGCGUUGUCCGGAUUUAUUGGGCGUAAAGAGCGUGUAGGCGGUUCGGUAAGUCUGUCGUGAAAUCCUGAGGCUCAACCUCGGGCGUGCGAUGGAUACUGCCGGGCUAGAGGGUGGUAGAGGCGAGUGGAACUCCUGGUGUAGCGGUGGAAUGCGCAGAUAUCAGGAAGAACACCAACGGCGAAGGCAGCUCGCUAGGACGGUACUGACGCUGAGACGCGAAAGCGUGGGGAGCGAACAGG
Molecule: ribosomal RNA, 253 nt
Filed under: uncultured bacterium
Lineage: Bacteria
Description: partial 16S ribosomal RNA
Rfam family: Bacterial small subunit ribosomal RNA
Source: RNAcentral